AAAGAGGUGCAGUUUUGGCGGGAAGUAUUAGGAUAAAAAGAGGGCGAGGAGCGCUAACACGGCUCGAGGACUCCAUCGCCUGGACUGGAUCAGGAG
RNAcentral lists this microRNA precursor (96 nucleotides) under Haemonchus contortus (barber pole worm). Its description in RNAcentral is "microRNA hco-mir-5945 precursor". Lineage: Eukaryota; Metazoa; Nematoda; Chromadorea; Rhabditida; Trichostrongylidae. The record is from miRBase by way of RNAcentral.